GCUCCUAUGCAAUGUUUGUCUUUGAACCUGGUCAGGACCGGAAGGUAGCAGCCAUAAGGAGUUCGAGCAUGUGCCGUAGGGUUUUC
RNAcentral lists this signal recognition particle RNA (86 nucleotides) under Planctomycetota bacterium. RNAcentral describes it as "signal recognition particle sRNA small type". It matches the Rfam family "Bacterial small signal recognition particle RNA". From Rfam's summary of the family: The signal recognition particle (SRP) is a universally conserved ribonucleoprotein involved in the co-translational targeting of proteins to membranes. Archaeal SRP consists of a 7S RNA and homologues of the eukaryotic SRP19 and SRP54 proteins. Lineage: Bacteria; Pseudomonadati; Planctomycetota. The record is from RNAcentral.